UGUAAAAACUCCGUACUUAUGCAUCGAAACCUACGACUUAAUAUUCCUUACGGUUGGCUAGUGUCUCGUGAUGGGCAACCAAUGUACAACUGGGCAGGAGCCCCAAUCAACUCCAGUAUGUGCGCAUGCGGGGCAACUGGUUCAUGUUCCGAUACCACGUAUUCGUGUAACUGCGACAGAAAUGACAACGUAGUCAGAGUAGAUGAAGGAUAUGUUACGCAGAAGAGAUACUUACCCCUGAGUGCGGUUCGACUUGGUGAUACCGGUGGUAGGCAGGAGACAGGAAAACUAACCCUCGGGGCGCUGGAAUGUGUCUAGUACUAGUGGUAAAAAAGAAGUGGGGUGAGGGGGUACAGAGCGGUGGUCAAUAACCUCCCAAACACAACAAAAUAUUGUUUAGCAUGAUGGUUACAUUAUAGGCAUAGGCCUAUAUGCCUAGGUGUAGAAAUUCACAACAUUUUAAAAUUAAUACGGUAAUUAAUAAUACAGUGAAGUAAUAAAAAAUUAAUUAUAGUGUUUAAUUAUUAAUACUAAAAGUAUUAUAUUAAUUUUAAAAAAAACUUAAAUAAUUCAAUUAGUUACAAAUUACUUAAAAUUUAAUUACAGUAGCCUUUGUUAUCUUAUACCGUUUUGUAACGUAUAGUGAAUUCGGCGUUUUCCAGUCAAAUUAAAAAACUGUUGGAAUGGCACCAAAUAUUAAUGGAACGAUUGAUUAAUUGGUCGAUUGACUAAUUCUCUAAACGGGCGAAGGGAUCAAUAUUAAUUCGGCCUUCGGCGACCAAAUUAUCUGCUUUGUGGUCGAAUUAACUAUGGAUUUAGGCUCAGUUUGUUCAAUCAAACACUUCCAAUAAGCCUAUAUCGAAAUCUAUUAAUUACUAAAUUGGUUUUACAGGCUAAUAAAAUAAGACACCUACGUAUUAGUUCUUCACCUAGUGUGUAGUUUAUUAGCGUAUAAUAUUAUGGUUUAGCCUAUAAAGAAUAUGAUUAUACAUACUGUACUGGUGAUAAUGGUGUUCAGUUGAAAAAUCAUUAACUACUAUUCGUGGUCACAAAAGUAGACUAUUGUACCAUUAAGAUGUGCACUAAGUUUAAGUACAAAUAGUAUGAAUGUCAUAGUACAAAUAGUAUGAAUGUCAUAGUACAAAUUGUAUGAAUGUCAUAGUACAAAUAGUAUGAAUGUCAUAGUACAAAUAGUAUGAAUGUCAUAGUACAAAUAGUAUGAAUGUCAUAGUACAAAUAGUAUGAAUGUCAUAGUACAAAUAGUAUGAAUGUCAUAGUACAAGUAUGAAUGUCAUAGUACAAGUAUGAAUGUCAUAGUACAAAUAGUAUGAAUCUUUUAUUAUGUAUUAUUCCUGAUGAUGCUUAAAUGAAAGUGAAACGUUGAAAAAAUGGCCUUGUCAAUUUAUGGAGUGACAUUCAUACUAUUUAAACUAUUGUAGGCCUACAGUAUUUGCAUAUUUAUUUUCGUAGUUUUAUCGCACAUCAGUUCGAUACAAAUAUAGAAAUUACAUUGGAUUCGAUUUAUUUCACUUUCAGUAACACACCAACCAUGAAAUUACCUGGUUUUCUUUUUUCUCAAUUCCAGCAUGACUAUUUUUUUUUUCGAAAUUCCAGCAUCAUUAACGGAAUCUUACGGAAAAUAUUGAGCAGAAAUACAGUUGUAUUUUUGAGCACCAAAAACAUUAGUUUGAAGGAAAACAUUAUAAAACAUUCAAUCAGCUUUAAGUAAACACUUUACUACUAGAGAGAUGAAAUGUAUCGAUAGUCUUGAAAUCUGUCUAUGAACUGUAAAAAAUAAAAGCAGUGUAUCGCUGAAUCGUAUGAGACCACAUUUGGGACCAGACGAUUUAGGGUGGUCUCAGGGGUUCGGUCUCUAGUUAGAGGUUUAGCUGUGUGUUAAAACAUUAAAGAUUGUUUGUUGGCGCUUUGAAAAAAGUGAACUCAA
This 1945-nucleotide long non-coding RNA is filed under the name Anneissia japonica. RNAcentral describes it as "uncharacterized LOC117124917". The record is from RNAcentral. Lineage: Eukaryota; Metazoa; Echinodermata; Crinoidea; Comatulida; Comatulidae.